RNAcentral lists this long non-coding RNA (227 nucleotides) under Elaeis guineensis (African oil palm). Its description in RNAcentral is "long non-coding RNA (EGUI_LNC061260)". Lineage: Eukaryota; Viridiplantae; Streptophyta; Magnoliopsida; Arecales; Arecaceae. The record is from RNAcentral.
CUCUUCUCUUCUUCUUAGGAGCUUUUAGAACUAUGGAAACAAAGGUGAGAUGAUUCUGAAAUGACUUGGCUUUAUGCUUGCUUUACACCAGAAUUUAUUGUAGGGUUCUAAGUGUUGAUCUUGUUUAAAGAUUUUUGUAUUAGAAAAGUAGGCAUGCAACUUUCUUUACUCUUGUUUAUGGUGGGAAAUGUGUGUAUGGCAUCCCCUAUGUACAUGCAAGCACCAAU